AACACAAUCAAAAAAAAAAAAAAAAAAAAAAAAAAAAAAAGCUUUCGGGGAAGUUGUAGGAACAUAAAGAGGAGUGAUGCUGACAUCAAGGGGAGCAUGAGACUCGAUAAGUCCUUUAAAGCGUCAAGAAGGAGAACUUGGAGAUGUGGAAAAUCGGGGUGUGGAGAGUGAGGCUAGGAAGGAUGAACACAUUGUUCAUUAACUAGUAUAGACAGCCGCACCCUCCAGUGUGCCUCUGCUGGCUUUUUGGGGGGCAACUGAGCAGUUAGUAGGGCUUCUGGAGCAGUAGAGGAGAAAGACAGACGUCAGUGUACAGGGCCCCACACUGAUGGGUGCUCUGACAGAAACAUCCUCCAGACUGAGAUGGGAAAUCCAGCAGAAUGUAUUCUGGGUUAUGGGUAACCCUGUGCCAGAGGCUUACGCCAGGAAGGACAGAAGCAGAAUCCAAAGGCAGACAGACAGCGAGGAGCUGGAGAGAGAAAGAAGCAAACAGAAAAUAUGGCCUUUUUCAUAUUAAUCUUGAAGAAAACAACGGUGCUGGUGUGUGGAUAUUCUGGGCCGUGGAGCCAGAGUAAUUGAACAAUUAGGGGUGGAGACAAUUAUUUAAAAUGAGCUCCCAAAGGCCUGGGAUCAAGUGCAGAGGAAGAUAAAUGAGUUUGGGGCAAUAAUGUGUAUAUGACCAAAUAUGGGUAAAACUCAAAUUAUUUACCUUUUAGAGAACAAUAUGAUCCCAUGUUCUUUUUGGAGCUUUUAUCUUUCCUAUAUCCUGCCUGCAUGCUAAUUAGCACCAGUUUGAUCUUGUUUUGUGGCUGGGACAAUGUGUGUCCAAUAUUUUGUGUGCAAUAGACUGAACUGUUCAGGUGCCAAGCCAGUAUCUUCUGCCUUGGACUGGAAUUCCAAAAAUCAACAUGUAUUCUUGCUUCAACCAAAAAGUAUGACUGUUGCAGCUCAAUAAAGGGGAAUGAAUUAGAGCAGCUAAAUCUGGGGAGGCAGACAUUUGGGUGACUGGGUAGAGAAAAAGUAGUCUGCUCACACAUACAUCCUCAUGAGCCCUAGAGUCACAUCCCCACGUCACUGAACCCCCUCUCCCUCACAAGACAGUGUUCUGUGUUCCCUCCAGGAGGGAAUGGAAGCUAGAAAAGACACACCCGAUCAUGCCAACACCACACUAGUGACAAGAAUUAUUGUAGACUUCCAACCAGUGUGGUAGGACCAGUCUAAGAGACUAAGAGCAGAAAAAAGAAUGCAGCUGUCUGGGAGGUUCAGGCCAGCAGCCCCAAGCAGUGGAUAGAAAGAAAGCUGGUUUCUCUGGAGCCCUGGCCACUCUGAACAGGACCCUCCCCAGUGGCAGGCAAACUAUCCAGUGUCAUUGCUUGUGCGUUUUGUGUUUACUCCCUCUGAGGCACAUUUCUAAUGGGAUGUGACAGAGAUGGAUUUGGACAGACAGCAAGCUUGCUGAACACCUCUCCUCACAGCCCUGCCCAACUUUUCUCCCGGAUCCUGUGACUAGUCUCUUCAUACUGCUGAUCUCUUGUGUGAUUUUGUGGACCAAGGCUGUGUUUUAAUGAGCAAAGCUUUGAAUAGUGUCUUAAUAGCUGAUACGGUGGUGUCCACAUUGGAGGUGUUCCUGAGCUAUGUGCCCUACAGGAUUCGCCUUGAGAGGCUGUCUACAUCUCCAUUCACUCCAGUGCUCUGCUCAGCUGGCCGCACACAGCCGCACACAAGCAGAUCGUCUUCUGUUUAGUUGUUACUUGUUGAUUGACUGGGAAAUACCUUUGGUGGUGUUCACAACAAACACUGAGAGCACCUACCCUUGCAUUUAGUCCCCUUUUGCCCACAUACAAGUAUUUCUAAAGGACAAGCACUUGGAACUGUUAGGUUGUACGGAGACACAUCCUGAAUUCAGAUAAAAACAGCUACAGUCUUCUCCAGAAUACCUGGUUCAAUCUCCUGCCAGAGCGUCUCCACCAAUUGGAUGGGUACAAAUACUGUCACAGGUUAGCGUUCCCUGUGUAGUGCCACAGCUGAAGCCUUUGUUUACCUCUGGAUUGUAUGCCCAAAUCCCUCCUGCUUCUCUCCCUCUGCCUGCCUCCCUCUCCCUUCCUCCCUUCCUUUCAUUCCCUCUCUCCCUCCUGCUCUCUCUCCUCUCUCUCUCUCUUUCUUCCAUUAUUUGAGACAGUAUCUCACUAUGGACCCCAUCCUAGCCUUCAAUCUCAGUCUACUGAGUACUGGAAUUAUAGGUAUGAUGCCACUUCCUGCCCAUUUUUUUUCUUUCUUUUUUAAAAGAUACUUCAUCUUUCAUUGGUUUUUGGUUCUUCAUCUGUUUCAUGCUUUUAUAUACUAAUGCUUUCUCGUUAGUGACAUAUUUUUCUACAUUGUGAUUCUUUUGCCAUUUAGUUGAAUUGCUUUUAGAAAAAUUUAAGAUUUUGAUACAGUCAUAUGUUGGCUUUACUUUUACACCUUCUUUUGGCAAUCUUAAAAGCCUUUAGUAGGGAAGUGGUGGCACACGCCUUUAACCCCAGCACUCAGGAGGCACAGGCAGGCAGAUCGCUGAGAGUUCAAGGCCAACCUGGUCUACAAAGCCUAGGACAGCCAAGGCUACACAAACCCUGUUUAAAGAACAAAAAAGAAGUCUUCUUUAUAUUAAUUUCAAGGCAUUUUUCCUGUACUUUCUUCCCUGGCAUUUAUAGCUUACUUAUAUAUUUAUGUUUAUAUAUAAUUUUAAAUAUAUAUUUGUAUCAUGUAUAAAUAAUAAAUUCCAUAUGCACGAUUCUUAUUGUAUAAUGUCACCACCCUACUAUUUUGUGGAAUGUAGAUGGUGUCAUCUAAGCCUGCUCCCUGUACCUAGUGCCACCCCACCGCACUGUGUGAGGCCAUCCCUGGUCCAUGGUGCCUGUCUCCUCCCAGGCUGCUGCUAAGCUGUGGUCAGAGCAGAACUGACUCACCUUCUCUGAUGUGCAGAGCUGCUUUGGCCAUCCUUGCACGUGAGUCCUACUGUAUGAAUGUUAAAAUUUAUCAGUUUCAAUAGAAUUUUUGCUAGGAGAUUUUGUUGGAGUUACACUGAAUUCAUGGAUAAAUCUGAGCGUAAUCAGCCUCUUUCCUGUGUGCUCACGGCACCCUCCAAGCCCAGGGCAUCUUGUCCCUCUGGAGAAGAUGGCUGCUUUCUCUGGGUCAUCCUGCCUUUUGUUUCUUGGUGGAUUUAACCCUCAGCCCUUUUACAGGUUUUUUAGCAGCUCUGGCUGGCGGGUCCCCUGUGCUUCUGUUUGCUUGACCCACGGUCUCCAUCUCAACCUUGCACUAAUCAUGAGCUUGCUCUGCAGACACCCAAAGUAAACUUCCUCCCUGGGUACAAACACACAAAAAAGAGCACCGCCUAACACAGAGCUGGUAUAAUUAGCCGAAAACAAAUUAGAAUUGUUCCAAAUUACACUUUAAAUAAGCAAGCAAAGCAUGAAUACAUUCUCCUGUUUAGAGGUGGAGUGGUAUGGUCCCAGCUGCUGUCUCUGCCACCUGAGAUUGAGGCCUUCUCCUCCAGGAAGCCUUUGUUCAGAGCUUCAGGGAUUUCUUUUCAAAGUAACACACAUCUUAGCAAUGAUGAGGGUAUCCAGAAUGAAUGUGGCCCGGUCAUGGAUGUUACACGGUACUCUUCUCAUUUACCCUCUACCUGGGUCAUACUCGUCUGUGUUCUGUUUUCCCUUCCAAACAUUACCCUGAAGUUAGUUUUCCUCAGUCAGGAAGAGCACAGCAGAGAACACCAAGGCACAGGCUCCAGAAACACUCUCCAGGGCCUAGGCUGGCUACUGUCUGAGGUUUUGGUUGUUUUUGAUUUUUGAAAUAAGAUUUCAUUGUGUAGCUGAGGUUGACCUUGAGCUGCUGAUCUCACUGCUUCCCCCUCCAAGUUUUAGAGCUACAGGCCCCCACAUCCAGCCAGACUUAGCCUCUAACCUUGCCUUCUGAAGGCCUUCCCUUCACCAGCCUAUCAAGUAUUUUCUCACUUUUUUCCUCUGAAAACUCCCUGCUGCUUUUCUUACAUUUGUAUCAUAUUAUUGUUUCCCAGCUCUCACAUUUAACACAUCACUGCAGGCGAGGCUUAUUAGAGUGUGGUAUUCGUGUUUAGUUUUGAUACAUUUCAAAAUGGAUGACUAAGUUUUCCAAUACAACUUACUGGCCAUGCUGCAUUUCCUCUAGCAGUUUUGGCUUAUUUCCUUUGUUCCACACAGCUCCCAACUACGCGCAACACAGGCUCUUUCCAGUCAUCCAUGAGCUCCAUGUUGCUUUGAUAACAGCAAAAGCAGUCCACUCUUGUUCUGUGGCAUCAUCUUGGUCUUGUAUAUUGUCACACAGUUUACAUUUUUGAACCAGCUGCUCAAGCUUUAAAACCUUGCUCAGAGUUUUAGGGAAUCCGUGGCUGAAUCUGAGAGAAAUGGACAUCUUCAUCCCGUAGCACAUACGGUGCCUGCUGGUUCCAGGCGUCUUCCUGCCUUUGAAAAGUUUGGUGUUUUUCCUCUGGUGACAGUCUUGCCUACUUCGUAUUUUAUUCUUAGGUACUUAAGGUUUUGCUAGCACCCCUCUGCUUCUGUUUGCUUGACCCAUGGUCUCCAUCUCAACCUUUCACUAAUCAGUGAGCUUGCUCUGCAGACACACACAGUAAACUUUCUUCCUCCCUGGGCACAAACACACGAGCACCACCAAACACAGAGCUGGUAUAAUUAGCCGAAAACAAAUUAGAAUCGUUCCAAAUUACACUUUAAUUAAGCAAGCAAGGCAUGAAUACAUUCUCCUGUUUAGAGGUGGAAUGGUAUGGACCCAGCUGCUGUCACCUCUACCAAAGUCUUAUAUCCCAUCUCCUCCACAGCUCUGUGUAUCUGCUUCUGGGGAGUGUGUGAAACCAUGCUGGCAUGAGCUUGCCGGAGGCUGCAUCUUGACUCACUUUAGAAUCUUUACCACACAGCCAUGCUGAUUCCUAAAGCUCAUGUCCUUUAACACAGCGGAACACUUGUUCCCUCCAUUCUCAUUCUCCGUCUCCAGGCUCUACCAACAUUUAGUCGGUUCUUUGUCUCUACUCUGUUGUGAGCAGCCCUCUAACUUGGCAGUGAUGAAGAGGUAGGAUGCUGGGUCUGCACGCUGUCAGUUUCAUCAGACUUAACCGGUGCCCGCCAUGGUUUCUGUACCAGGCAAGCAUCUAGCCAGAGGCUGACUUUAAUCCCCACACCGUGAGCAAUUCUCAGUGUUUGCCAAUAGGAGAGGUGAAAAGUUAAAUCCCAUUUUAAAUUUGUAUUUUGCUGUUUGCCAGUAAGGUUUUCUUGUGUACAUUGGGCAUUUGUAUUAUUCCUGCCACUCUGAACUGCCUAUUUUUGCAUUAGGCUCUUCAUUGGCCUGUAGAACAUCCUCAUGUAAUCUGGAUAGUAGACCUUUGUGCCUGUUGGACAAAUAUUUUUUUUGGCUCUCAGCUCUUUGUAGAAUCCUAUGUUAGACAGAAGUUACCAAUUUUGAUCUAAUGUAUUUCCUCAAUCUCCUUUAGUCCUUUUUGAAUAUAUAUCAUGUUUGGUUUAAAUGAAACCUUUAUACUUUCCUAAUGGUUUCACAGUUUUUGUUCUUGGCUCUUUCUUGCACCUGGAAUAUAUUUCUAUGAUUGAACUGAGACAGCAUCUAACCUUUCUCAAAACGGACAGCCGAUUAUCGGAACACAGUAGAAUGGAUCGGCUCCUCCCUCCUUUCUCUGCUGCUCUGAAGUGUGGCUUCCUCUCAACUGAGGCCCUAUUGCUAGACAGUUUCAAGGCCCCUGGCCUUUUUUGGUUUUGUUUUGGGUUUUUUGUUGUUGUUGUUGUUUUUAACUAAUCUGUUUAUUCCUGUCAGCACCAGACUUUAAUUUGCCAUUGCUUUUUACUACCUUUUGCUGUCUGGUAAGUAAAAUGCCACAUUUCACCAUGCUUCCCUACAGCUGUCUUAGCUUACUCCUCCACACGGGUUUAAAGCUGCUUGUCAAAUGCUGUGAAUUCAGAGAUUAACUCCGGGGAAGCUGACAUCAGUGCAAUACUCUGCCAUUCACAGCAGGAGCGAGGCAGAACUGUUUGUCCAUCAUGUCUUCCACACACCCAGCUUCUCCUAAGAACCCUGUGGCUUUCCUCGUGGGUUUAGUGCUUUGGUUUCCAUCAUUGUUGUGAAUGAGUUUCCACUGCCCCCUCUCCUGUUUUGUUUGGCUUUUGUUUGCUGCAUUUCUUUUUAAUCUACUUUCUAAUGGCUGCACUUCAUUCACAGACACACACAAAGUAAACGUUCUUCCUCCCUGGGCACAAACACGCAAGCACAGCUGAGCACAGAGCCAGAGUAAUUGGCUGAAAAUGAAUGGGAAUUUUUUCAAAUUAAAGUUUAAUGACACAAGCGAAA
Non-coding RNA from Cricetulus griseus (Chinese hamster), 6387 nucleotides. The record is from RefSeq and is a predicted model, not a curated record. Lineage: Eukaryota; Metazoa; Chordata; Mammalia; Rodentia; Cricetidae.